Molecule: transfer RNA, 83 nt
Filed under: Clostridia bacterium
Lineage: Bacteria; Bacillati; Bacillota; Clostridia
Description: tRNA-Leu
Rfam family: tRNA
About the family: Transfer RNA (tRNA) molecules are approximately 80 nucleotides in length. Their secondary structure includes four short double-helical elements and three loops (D, anti-codon, and T loops).
Source: RNAcentral
GCAGUUGUGGCGAAAUUGGCAGACGCGCUGGAUUUAGGUUCCAGUGGGCAACCGUAUGGGUUCAAGUCCCUUCAACUGCACCA